GACGAACGCUGGCGGCGUGCUUAACACAUGCAAGUCGAACGGUGAAGCGCCUUCCUUUUUGGUGGGUGUGUAUGAGUGGCCAACGGGUGAGCAACACGUGAGUAACCUUCCCCCUUCUUCUUAAUAACCGCAUGCAAGUGUUGCUACUACGGGAUAUUCUGGGUCUGUCGCUUGAUUGGUCUGAGACAGUUUUUGUUUCGGUUGUGGAUGGGCUCGCGCCGUAUCAGCUUGUUGGUGGGGUGAUGGCGUACCAAGGCGGCGACGAGUAGCCGACCUGAGAGGGGGGUGGGCGGCAACACAGGGACGGCGAGACGCAGAAGACUACGAGGGGCGGCAGCAGGGGAGAAUAUGGCACGAUGGGCGGAAGGCUGAUGCAGCGACGCGGCGGGAGGGAUGGAGGCCUGAGCGUUGUGAACCGCUUUCGGGAGUGAAGAAGGGCGGACGCGUUUGUGGAUGGGUUGACGGUAGCUGGAUAAGAAGCGACGGCUAACUACGUG
Molecule: ribosomal RNA, 497 nt
Filed under: uncultured bacterium
Lineage: Bacteria
Description: partial 16S ribosomal RNA
Rfam family: Bacterial small subunit ribosomal RNA
Source: RNAcentral